GAGCGAACGCUGGCGGCGUACUUAACACAUGCAAGUCGAACGGGGAUCAUCGGGUUAGCAAUAACUCGGUGGUCCUAGUGGCGCACGGGUGAGUAACACGUGGGUAACCUGCCCUGGAGACCGGGAUACCCCUCGAAAGGGGGCUAAUACCGGAUACGUUCCCUGGAUCGAGAGGUCUGGGGAGGAAAGGUGGCGAAAGCUGCCGCUCUUGGAGGGGCUCGCGGCCUAUCAGCUAGUUGGCGGGUAA
Molecule: ribosomal RNA, 247 nt
Filed under: uncultured bacterium
Lineage: Bacteria
Description: partial 16S ribosomal RNA
Rfam family: Bacterial small subunit ribosomal RNA
Source: RNAcentral